AGCAGCCGCGGUAAUUCCAGCUCCAAUAGCGUAUAUUAAAGUUGUUGCAGUUAAAAAGCUUGUAGUUGAAUUUCGGGAUUGGCGCAUCGGUCGUGCCUCACGGGGUAUGAACUGGUGCAGUCAAUUUCUCACCUUCUGGAGAACCGCGAUGUCCUUAAUUGGGUGCCGCGGGGAACCAGGACCUUUACUUUGAAAAAUUAGAGUGUUUAAAGUAGGCAUUUUUGCUUGAAUACAUUAGCAUGGAAUAAUAAAAUAGGACGGCAUGGUUCUAUUUUGUUGGUUUCUAGGACCACCGUAAUGAUUAAUAGGGAUAGUUGGGGGCAUUAGUAUUCAAUUGUCAGAGGUGAAAUUCUUGGAUUUAUUGAAGACUAACUACUGCGAAAGCAUUUGCCAAGGAUGUUUUCAUUAAUCAAGAACGAAAGUUAGGGGAUCGAAGACGAUCAGAUACCGUCGUAGUCUUAACCAUAAACUAUGCCGACUAGGAAUCAGACGAUGUUAAUUUUUAAUGUACUUCGUUUGG
This 520-nucleotide ribosomal RNA is filed under the name uncultured Entrophospora. Its description in RNAcentral is "SSU rRNA". It matches the Rfam family "Eukaryotic small subunit ribosomal RNA", at positions 569 to 1083 of the family's 1831-position model. Lineage: Eukaryota; Fungi; Glomeromycota; Glomeromycetes; Entrophosporales; Entrophosporaceae. The record is from RNAcentral.